UGCGCCUUGCCAGCCCGCUCAGAAACUUAAAUGAAUUGACGGGGGCCCGCACAAGCGGAGGAGCAUGUGGUUUAAUUCGAUGAUACGCGAGGAACCUUACCUGGGCUCGAACGUAAGAUGACUGUAGGUGAAAGCUUACAUCUCUUCGGAGCAUUUUACGAGGUGCUGCAUGGUUGUCGUCAGCUCGUGCCGUGAGGUGUCGGGUUAAGUCCCGUAACGAGCGCAACCCUUGUCCUUAGUUACCAGCACGUUAUGGUGGGCACUCUAAGGAGACUGCCGGUGACAAACCGGAGGAAGGUGGGGAUGAUGUCAAGUCAUCAUGGCCCUUACGGCCUGGGCUACACACGUGCUACAAUGGUCGGUACAAAGGGUUGCCAAGCCGCGAGGUGGAGCUAAUCCCAUAAAACCGAUCGUAGUCCGGAUCGCAGUCUGCAACUCGACUGCGUGAAGUCGGAAUCGCUAGUAAUCGUGAAUCAGAAUGUCACGGUGAAUACGUUCCCGGGCCUU
This 507-nucleotide ribosomal RNA is filed under the name uncultured Pseudomonas sp. RNAcentral describes it as "bacterial SSU rRNA". It matches the Rfam family "Bacterial small subunit ribosomal RNA", at positions 903 to 1382 of the family's 1533-position model. Lineage: Bacteria; Pseudomonadati; Pseudomonadota; Gammaproteobacteria; Pseudomonadales; Pseudomonadaceae. The record is from RNAcentral.